GGGGAAUUUUGCGCAAUGGGCGAAAGCCUGACGCAGCAACGCCGCGUGAGUGAUGAAGGCUUUCGGGUCGUAAAGCUCUGUCAAGGGGAAAGAAGUGUAUUGUGGCUAAUAUCCACGAUACUUGACGGUACCCCUGAAGGAAGCACCGGCCGACUCCGUGCCAGCAGCCGAGGUAAUACGGGGGGUGCAAGCGUUGUUCGGAAUUAUUGGGCGUAAAGCGCGUGUAGGCGGUUUGUUAAGUCUGAUGUGAAAGCCCUGGGCUCAACCCAGGAAGUGCAUUGGAUACUGGCAGACUUGAAUACGGGAGAGGGUAGUGGAAUUCCUGGUGUAGGAGUGAAAUCCGUAGAUAUCAGGAGGAACACCGGUGGCGAAGGCGGCUACCUGGACCGAUAUUGACGCUGAGACGCGAAAGCGUGGGUAGCAAAC
This 426-nucleotide ribosomal RNA is filed under the name uncultured bacterium. RNAcentral describes it as "bacterial SSU rRNA". It matches the Rfam family "Bacterial small subunit ribosomal RNA", at positions 356 to 773 of the family's 1533-position model. The record is from RNAcentral.